Long non-coding RNA from Bradysia coprophila, 162 nucleotides. The record is from RefSeq and is a predicted model, not a curated record. Lineage: Eukaryota; Metazoa; Arthropoda; Insecta; Diptera; Sciaridae.
CCGACCCGAAGGGAAGAGCGGUAUGAGUAUAAAAAUUUGGACUUACGUACGUACUGUGCUUUACGUGAAUAGGCAAUGUAAAUGUAAAUUUCAUAUGAGCGAAGCGCCAUUUACAUUGCCGUAUCACGUAAAAGACUUUAUAUCAAUGCGUGUAAGAAUUUG